Molecule: ribosomal RNA, 370 nt
Filed under: uncultured bacterium
Lineage: Bacteria
Description: bacterial SSU rRNA
Rfam family: Bacterial small subunit ribosomal RNA
Source: RNAcentral
ACGUAGGGGGCUAGCGUUAUCCGGAAUUACUGGGCGUAAAGGGUGCGUAGGCGGUCUUUCAAGCCAGAAGUGAAAGGCUACGGCUCAACCGUAGUAAGCUUUUGGAACUGUAGGACUUGAGUGCAGGAGAGGAGAGUGGAAUUCCUAGUGUAGCGGUGAAAUGCGUAGAUAUUAGGAGGAACACCAGUAGCGAAGGCGGCUCUCUGGACUGUAACUGACGCUGAGGCACGAAAGCGUGGGGAGCAAACAGGAUUAGAUACCCUGGUAGUCCACGCCGUAAACGAUGAGUACUAGGUGUCGGGGGUUACCCCCCUCGGUGCCGCAGCUAACGCAUUAAGUACUCCGCCUGGGAAGUACGCUCGCAAGAGUG